RNAcentral lists this ribosomal RNA (253 nucleotides) under uncultured bacterium. RNAcentral's name for it is "partial 16S ribosomal RNA". It matches the Rfam family "Bacterial small subunit ribosomal RNA", at positions 524 to 776 of the family's 1533-position model. The record is from RNAcentral.
UACAGAGGUCUCAAGCGUUGUUCGGAUUCAUUGGGCGUAAAGGGUGUGUAGGUGGCGCCGUAAGUCGGGUGUGAAAUUUCGGAGCUUAACUCCGAAACUGCAUUCGAUACUGCGGUGCUUGAGGACUGGAGAGGAGACUGGAAUUCAUGGUGUAGCAGUGAAAUGCGUAGAGAUCAUGAGGAAGACCAGUGGCGAAGGCGGCUCACUGGUCCGGUACUGACGCUGAGGUGCGAAAGCGUGGGGAGCAAACAGG